GAUGAACGCUGGCGGCGUGCCUAAUACAUGCAAGUCGAGCGAACGGACGAGAAGCUUGCUUCUCUGAUGUUAGCGGCGGACGGGUGAGUAACACGUGGAUAACCUACCUAUAAGACUGGGAUAACUUCGGGAAACCGGAGCUAAUACCGGAUAAUAUUUUGAACCGCAUGGUUCAAAAGUGAAAGACGGUCUUGCUGUCACUUAUAGAUGGAUCCGCGCUGCAUUAGCUAGUUGGUAAGGUAACGGCUUACCAAGGCAACGAUGCAUAGCCGACCUGAGAGGGUGAUCGGCCACACUGGAACUGAGACACGGUCCAGACUCCUACGGGAGGCAGCAGUAGGGAAUCUUCCGCAAUGGGCGAAAGCCUGACGGAGCAACGCCGCGUGAGUGAUGAAGGUCUUCGGAUCGUAAAACUCUGUUAUUAGGGAAGAACAUAUGUGUGAGUAACUGUGCACAUCUUGACGGUACCUAAUCAGAAAGCCACGGCUAACUACGUGCCAGCAGCCGCGGUAAUACGUAGGUGGCAAGCGUUAUCCGGAAUUAUUGGGCGUAAAGCGCGCGUAGGCGGUUUUUUAAGUCUGAUGUGAAAGCCCACGGCUCAACCGUGGAGGGUCAUUGGAAACUGGAAAACUUGAGUGCAGAAGAGGAAAGUGGAAUUCCAUGUGUAGCGGUGAAAUGCGCAGAGAUAUGGAGGAACACCAGUGGCGAAGGCGACUUUCUGGUCUGUAACUGACGCUGAUGUGCGAAAGCGUGGGGAUCAAACAGGAUUAGAUACCCUGGUAGUCCACGCCGUAAACGAUGAGUGCUAAGUGUUAGGGGGUUUCCGCCCCUUAGUGCUGCAGCUAACGCAUUAAGCACUCCGCCUGGGGAGUACGACCGCAAGGUUGAUACUCAAAGGAAUUGACGGGGACCCGCACAAGCGGUGGAGCAUGUGGUUUAAUUCGAAGCAACGCGAAGAACCUUACCAAAUCUUGACAUCCUUUGACAACUCUAGAGAUAGAGCUUUCCCCUUCGGGGGACAAAGUGACAGGUGGUGCAUGGUUGUCGUCAGCUCGUGUCGUGAGAUGUUGGGUUAAGUCCCGCAACGAGCGCAACCCUUAAGCUUAGUUGCCAUCAUUAAGUUGGGCACUCUAAGUUGACUGCCGGUGACAAACCGGAGGAAGGUGGGGAUGACGUCAAAUCAUCAUGCCCCUUAUGAUUUGGGCUACACACGUGCUACAAUGGACAAUACAAAGGGCAGCGAAACCGCGAGGUCAAGCAAAUCCCAUAAAGUUGUUCUCAGUUCGGAUUGUAGUCUGCAACUCGACUACAUGAAGCUGGAAUCGCUAGUAAUCGUAGAUCAGCAUGCUACGGUGAAUACGUUCCCGGGUCU
RNAcentral lists this ribosomal RNA (1372 nucleotides) under uncultured bacterium. Its description in RNAcentral is "bacterial SSU rRNA". It matches the Rfam family "Bacterial small subunit ribosomal RNA", at positions 28 to 1381 of the family's 1533-position model. The record is from RNAcentral.